UCCUCCUUAGCUCAGUUGGUUAGAGCAUCUGACUGUUAAUCAGAGGGUCGCUGGUUCGAGUCCAGCAGGAGGAGC
Molecule: transfer RNA, 75 nt
Filed under: Elizabethkingia miricola
Lineage: Bacteria; Pseudomonadati; Bacteroidota; Flavobacteriia; Flavobacteriales; Weeksellaceae
Also listed under: 1 other name
Description: tRNA-Asn
Rfam family: tRNA
About the family: Transfer RNA (tRNA) molecules are approximately 80 nucleotides in length. Their secondary structure includes four short double-helical elements and three loops (D, anti-codon, and T loops). Further hydrogen bonds mediate the characteristic L-shaped molecular structure. tRNAs have two regions of fundamental functional importance: the anti-codon, which is responsible for specific mRNA codon recognition, and the 3' end, to which the tRNAs corresponding amino acid is attached (by aminoacyl-tRNA synthetases). tRNAs cope with the degeneracy of the genetic code in two manners: having more than one tRNA (with a specific anti-codon) for a particular amino acid; and 'wobble' base-pairing, i.e. permitting non-standard base-pairing at the 3rd anti-codon position.
Source: RNAcentral